RNA transcript from Pangasianodon hypophthalmus (striped catfish), 5078 nucleotides. It is a transcript of the gene named terminal nucleotidyltransferase 4A, with no coding region annotated. The record is from RefSeq and is a predicted model, not a curated record. Lineage: Eukaryota; Metazoa; Chordata; Actinopteri; Siluriformes; Pangasiidae. The transcript has 14 exons.
GUUGGUGUGGGACUCCUCAGGCUUGUUAAAUGGGAGUGAUGGGAGGUCGCCAUAUUGGAUCCACUGUCUCACAGGCCGAGAGGAACAAACAGACCCCUGAUUGGUCCUCAGUUUUCGGCUCUUCGUUAUUGAGCUACAUGUUGUUUUUAAUGUAACCGUGUGUCCUGGUUAAACCGCUCUCGGUCUGGAGGACGCUAUAGGAGGACCCAGGACGGCUGGGUGUGUUUUAUCCCGGGUGGAUAAGCUAGCUAAGCUAAGCUAAGCUAGUGGAAUUUGAAUGGAUCCGAGGGUCGCCUGGAUUCAGCCGGAACAGAAAGGACCUGCUAAUGCGUUAUGGAUGCAUGUGUGGGAAACGUCUCAGGGAAUCCGGACUAACGCGGCGCACCAUCACCGCCAGCAGCUGAGCGAGCUGUGUGUCACCGCUGGCUUCUGCGACGUGUGUAAAAAUCAAGGGAAAGAUGUGUGCAGUGAGUCUGGGUGUUCAUCCAGCACCCACCAUCACCACCACCACCAUCCUCCUCCUCCUCCUCUUCCUCCUGCUUCUUCUUCUGCUUCUUCCUCAUCAUCAUCUUCUUCUUCUCACCAGAGCAAUGCAAACAGCACUAAUGUCCGGAGCGCCUUCGCGACAUUAUCGAUUAAUAAUAAUAACAACGUUAGCGCCGCGACACCUCCUCUGAACGCAGCCGACAUGGCUCCCACUGAGAAGGGCUCCCGGUCUCCCCCGGACCCGGGCACGGACAGCUCCUACCCGGAUUCCUCUUCCGCCAUAAGGGCUAACGAGACCAACAAAAACCGCUUGUGUUUCAGUUUCAGCGAACUGAACAACGUCAACCAAAAUCACCUUCAUAAUCAUUAUCACCAUCAUCAUCAUCACCACCAUCACCAACAUUCGCGAUAUUUCCAUCAGGAACAGCAGCCGUAUUUCCAGCAGAACUGCAUGAAGCGCUACCCGUUCAACCCGGGAUUUAACAACCACAACAAUCACCUCCACCAUCACCCGGGACGGAGGAAAAAUGAAAAUAAAGCGAGCACAUACGGGAUAAAUUAUCUUCUCUCCAACUGGACUAACGGCAAUCAUGUCAGUCCCGUUACACUGUGGAAAACCAGGACGUACAGCCCCGGACUGAACGGGCUUCAUGAGGAGAUUAUAGACUUCUACAACUUCAUGUCCCCUCGACCCGAAGAGGCCACCAUGAGGCAAGAGGUAGUCGACCGAAUCGAGUCAGUCAUCAAGGAGCUGUGGCCAAGUGCUGACGUUCAGAUAUUCGGCAGCUUUAGCACUGGACUCUACCUCCCAACCAGUGACAUUGACUUGGUGGUGUUUGGGAAAUGGGACAGACCUCCCCUACAGCAGUUGGAACAGGCCCUCCGGAAGAAUAACGUGGCCGAGCCAUUCUCUAUCAAAGUACUUGACAAAGCUACGGUACCAAUUAUCAAAUUGACCGAUCAGGAAACAGAGGUCAAAGUGGACAUCAGUUUCAACGUGGAGACUGGAGUCAAAGCUGCCCGCUUCAUCAAGGAUUAUGUGAAGAAGUAUACCGUGCUGCCUUACUUGAUCUUCGUGCUGAAGCAGUUCCUCCUGCAGAGGGAUCUGAACGAGGUCUUUACUGGAGGCAUCAGCUCCUACAGCCUCAUCCUGAUGGUCAUCAGUUUCCUGCAGCUCCACCCCCGAAUCGACGCCAGAACUCCCAACACGAACCUUGGUGUUCUGCUCAUCGAGUUCUUCGAGCUGUACGGCCGCCAUUUUAACUACCUGAAAACAGGCAUCAGGAUAAAGAACGGCGGUGCCUACAUGGCCAAAGAGGACAUCAUGAAAGCCAUGAGCAACGGCUACAGGCCGUCCAUGCUCUGCAUCGAGGACCCUCUUCUUCCAGGUAAUGAUGUAGGCAGGAGCUCAUACGGAGCCAUGCAGGUGAAACAUGUGUUUGACUAUGCCUACAUCGUCCUCAGCCAUGCAGUGUCGCCUCUCGCAAAUUCCUACCCCAACAAGGACAGCGACAGCACUUUGGGACGCAUCAUUAAAGUCACCCAGGAAGUGAUCGACUACAGGGAGUGGAUCGUUAACAAGUGGGGAAGCAAGCAAACCGAGAGGAAUAACGGUCCUGCUCAUAAAGACUCGGUGGAGCAGGCAGACUCGAGCGCUUUGCUCAGUGUUGGAGUGGAGGAGCAGCAGCAACUCCAGAGGGACUCUGUGUCUCCUAACAGCGCUGACUCUCCCAUGUCUCUGUCCAGCCCUAAGCAGCACUCAUCAGCUUCCUCUCUGUCAGGCAGCGACAUCGACUCGGACUGCACGCCGUGUGCAGCUCCAGCAGUGCCCUCCUACCCUCUGCAGACGCUGGCACUGGGCACGCUGCCCGCUGAGCUGCAGAUGGGCACGAGCAAGGCCAACCUCACCAUGCCACUCACAAUGCCUGCUGCCAACCAGACGAGAGUUUCAAUGCCCGGGAGUCUUCCUCUCCACAUUUUACCUGGCAGACAGCAGGCUGGUCCCAAGAGCUUCCACAACCCGACUUUACCACACGGCCACAUGCAGUACAACCGCAACACGUGGCGCCAUAAGAAAAGGGACAGUCUACCAGCCAGCGUCAGUAGAUAAACACAGCAUACUCCUCCUCCCUACCUCCACCACCUCCUUCAUCUCCCUCCCCCCUGCUCCUCCCGCUCCUCCUCUUCCUCCUCUUGUCAUAAAACGAUGAAAACUCGACGAGGCCUCCUGCUGGUGGGGCGCAAGCCGAGAGACCAGCAGUUUCUGCCGCAGCUCCUCACUCAGUAGCUGCGCUAACGGUGGUGCUACCUUUACUCUCCCACUCCAUCCGUGCACGUGUGUGAAUUUCAGAAACUCGACCCCUGAGGAUGCCUCAGAUCUGUUUGAUGAUCUACACCAUGACUUCUGCUCACAAUGGAAACGUUUUUGUUAUUGUUGCUUUUCCUGUGCAUGACUUCCCUUUUCACUUGAGGGUUUUUUUUUUUUUCCUAAUGGGACACCAUACACAGACGCUAGAUUCAGCAGCUUAUCAGUAUCAUAAUAACAGGGGUAAGGAAUUGUGUUUGUGUAUUUUUUUUUCACCGUGUGUGUGCAAGCAAUCACAAAUGUUUGAGUGGAUGACACAGAGUGGGUUAUUUGUGCAAUAACUUCUUAUUUUCUCUUUUGUUCACUUUAGAUGAGAACUAUUAUUUAAUUAUGCAUCCAGAUGUUUUUUUUUUUUAAUCGCUUUUAUUUUUUAUAGAGUUUUUAAUUUCUGUAAAAUUACACACUUGCCCAUAUUCGGAUUCACAAACUCUCUAGACAUUAAGCUUUAUUUGAGUAAUUUAGGAGGCGAUGAAUCCGUCAUCGCCUCACGCCUGACCCUUACCACUGAGUGGGACGGGGCGCUGCACUCAGAUGAGCCGUGUGCGUGUGUGCGCGUGUGUGUGUUGAAGAAUUAUUUUAACAGUCUGUCUGUAGGUGGCACCAUUUCCUCAUUUGUUUCCAGAUUUUCUCAGCGCUCUCGACUCGUGUGUGUGUGUGUGUGUGUGUGUGUGUAGAUGAGAGUGAAUGGGUGUAUAUCCUCGAACAUGGGUCUGUCUUAGCCGUAGCUCCGUUUACAUUAGAGCUACGCUGCAUGACAGCCAAAGAAGCCUAUAUUCCAGCACUCGGACCUCCAUGUUAGGCUGUGCGUGUGUGUGUGCGAGUGUGUGUUUCCCUUUUAGAUUGCUCUAGGUGUAAGUAAUUAUGGGAGCCUGAGAAGCUGAAAUGAACAUGCAGCUGAGAGACGGGCCAAAGCGCCCAUGUUGGACUCCCUGAGCACUUGGUUGGCACCCAAAUCAAACGAAAAGGGACAAGAAAGGGAACUUACUCUGAUUCCUUUCUGGAAUCUUUAUGUGCAUUUCCAGUGUUACAGGCAUACAGGUUAUUGUAACUAUGCAAAUGGAGCUUUGAAUCCUUCUUCGUUUGACAACCACAUCUUGAAGCCAGAGAGGAAAGACGAGAAAGAGUCUGAGUAAAACCAGGGCACUUCAGAUUAGCAGGCUAACCAAGGUACAUGUGAACAGUUUGUGUAUGCAAGAAAAAUAUUUAAAAAAUGAGAAAAAAAAAAUGUCUGACUGCUGCUGUCGUAAAGUGUUUUGGCAGCAGUUGCAAUCUUUCCUGUGUCUCUUUCUCUCUCUCUCUAUCUUUUUUUUUUUUUUUUUUUUGGAUUAUAUCAGUGCAGGUAUGAAGCGACAGAAUGCCACUGAUAUGGAUCCUUUGUAUAAAAUAACCUGCUGUCACGAACCUGUUUCUGAAGUGCGCAGUGAGGUCGUAGCCAUCUCAGAGACGUUACACACACCUUUCAGCUGUAAGAGUGAACUCCUUGAUGUAAUAGGGGGCAAAUAUGAUCAUAAUAGCAGUAUCUGCUUUUAGGUAGAACCAGCAUCUUUGGGGGGCAAAAAACUCUGCUCAUAAUUAAGCGUGUGUUAUUAUUAUUAUUAUUAUUAUUAUUAUUAUUAUUAUCAUUAUUAUCAUUAUUAUUAUUAUUAAUGAGCAAGUGAAAAUGCAGACUUUGUGAAGAAACAUGACUAGUGUGUGUGUAUGUGUGUGUGUGUGUUCAUCUCUAUGGCUUGGACCUUGAUCAACACAGACUUCCACUACAGUACUGAGUGCAAAACUCCCUAACAGAUGUGAGCAAUUUUAAGCAAUUUUCUGUAUGACCAAAAGCGCCCCUGAAUUUAAUAGAGAAAGCCCUAAAAGUGGCACACCUAGCAUUCAAGAGGUCAAUUAAAGGAUUUUUUUUUUUUUUUUUUUUUUUUGCUGUUUCACCUUAAUAUUUUUAUGUACUUUAUUUUCUAUUUUAUUUUUUAAAUAAAACUCUUAAAACCACCUACAUGUGGUAUUGCAAUUAUUGAUCAGUUGCCAUAUCGAGGUGUGUGUGUGUGUUUUUAAAUCAUCAUCAGCAGUCCAUUUGUGCUCUGCCACUAGACGGCACCCUCACUCCGUCAUUCACUCUUGUUCUCUCACUCUUUCAUGCUGUCUGACUAUCUCUCUAAAACAUUAACCAGGAUUUAAAGCUUUUUGUUCAGUGCAUUACCUUGAGGAAAGACAUGUCUUUUAAAUUGAGCCA